UUCAACAGAUAAACACCCAUACGCACGUACACAUAUAUCUCUGUACAUCCAUGCGUACGUGCAGUAUAAACCGAUAGGUAUCUACCCACAUAGACACACACACACACACACACUUGCCCCCAUCGACCUUAGUCUGAAUCCGAGAUUUAGUAGAGCUUCCCGCACAGGCGCACACAUACAUAUACAUACACACAUACGCAUACACACACACACAUAUAUAUAUAUAUAUAUAUAUAAAGAUAUAUAGACGUGCACCAACGCGUACAUCUUCUUUCCGACAUUUUGGUAUUUUUACACAUUUUUUUCUUGACAUUCGCCUCAGCCUGGCCUUUCCUGCCGCCGUUUCGGUCGCUGCGGCUGGGAGAACGGAGUCCUCCCCACCACCACCACCACACACAGACACAAACACAACGAAAAGAAGGCAAACGAGGCAUCGGAAGUAGAGGGUCUCUCUUCUCAUCGUCUCUCUCCCUGUGCAUCUUCUCCGCCACUUUGAGAGUCGGUGGCGUCGCACCCUUUACUUCUGUGCAUACGAAGGCACGUACCCGCGUUUGGCAGAGAGUAGCCAGCAACCAUGCACCAGCGUCUGCUGCGGCCAGGCUGCAUGAAGCGGUUGCGGGAGGAUGAGGCUGGGGCUGAUGCGCACGAAAUGCACGCUGCUCCGAUAGACCACCUCUUGGCCACUCCGCCACGUAGCACGAACGGACUGGCCUCGCUGAUUCCGUCGAACCCGUUUGUGGCGCCGGUGCAGAACUCCCGCUCACCGUCCGUCUGCACCACCAUCGGCACCGACGGCGGCCUGUCCGAGGACAGCGUCUUCAUCUUAGACAUCAGCAGUCACAGCUGCUCCUUCCCUCGUCGACGUACAUCCGCGGCGGUGCCAAGUGAGGCGGAGGUGAAUCAGUGGCAGCGGGAACUGAACGACUUCUUCAGGAAGCUAGAUGAGCAACCGCUCCGGAUUGUGCCUCAAUAAGCUGGGGAGGGAGCGGGAGACGGCGCGGCAGCGUUCACCAAUGAAACCAGAGCUCCCACACACGUCGAGCAGCGCAAGAGGGGGGAGGUGGUGGAACAGCCGGCGUGACAAGGCAGCGCGAGGGAGCGGGAGGGUUGGCGAAUGGAGAGAUGCAGAACGGACCGACAAGGUUUCGGGCGAUCGACGCGCUCACCAUUUCCAGUAAUCCGCCACCGAAAGCGCCUUAUGGGAGAAAGGCAGUGAACUAAACGGAGUCUGCUGCUGUGCGCGUGCGUGGACGGCACUCGCCUGACGCUUGCCUAUCUUCUUCGAAAACCUCCUCGUGCCCUCUUUCAAACAACUCUUGGGGCCCUAGCUCCACCAGCGCCGCGGCUGACGCGCGCUCUCUUCAAACGUAGACAUCAGGAGGUCGAAAAGGGGUGUGAUGCUGAUGCCGCGGAGUACGAGCUCUUUUUUCAUUUUCUUGGGAUAGCAGAGUUGCGAUUUUUCUCAUGUGCCGCCUCACAGACGCCCUCUUCUCCCCUCCCCUCCCCUCACGCCCGUUGCGCCUCUCUUCGCACACCCGCACGCGCACCCGCUCAUAGACGGUAUAUUCGUAGAUGCAUGCCAGCAGUUUUUAAAGUAAUGUUUUCACCUUCUUUAUUUGUUAGCCUGAGCAGUG
Molecule: unclassified non-coding RNA, 1634 nt
Filed under: Leishmania donovani
Lineage: Eukaryota; Euglenozoa; Kinetoplastea; Trypanosomatida; Trypanosomatidae
Description: gene:LdHU3.30.0190(CDS-product:hypothetical_prote in)
Source: RNAcentral